This 437-nucleotide ribosomal RNA is filed under the name uncultured bacterium. RNAcentral describes it as "partial 16S ribosomal RNA". It matches the Rfam family "Bacterial small subunit ribosomal RNA", at positions 355 to 783 of the family's 1533-position model. The record is from RNAcentral.
UGGGGAAUUUUGGACAAUGGGCGAAAGCCUGAUCCAGCAAUGCCGCGUGUGUGAAGAAGGCCUUCGGGUUGUAAAGCACUUUUGUCCGGAAAGAAAUCCUUGGCUCUAAUACAGUCGGGGGAUGACGGUACCGGAAGAAUAAGCACCGGCUAACUACGUGCCAGCAGCCGCGGUAAUACGUAGGGUGCAAGCGUUAAUCGGAAUUACUGGGCGUAAAGCGUGCGCAGGCGGUUUGCUAAGACCGAUGUGAAAUCCCCGGGCUCAACCUGGGAACUGCAUUGGUGACUGGCAGGCUAGAGUAUGGCAGAGGGGGGUUAGAAUUCCACGUGUAGCAGUGAAAUGCGUAGAGAUGUGGAGGAAUACCGAUGGCGAAGGCAGCCCCCUGGGCCAAUACUGACGCUCAUGCACGAAAGCGUGGGGAGCAAACAGGAUUAAUA